AUGGCGGCAGGGCUGCCUCAGUCCCACUGUGGGCUCUUCCAACACCUGCUGUUCUCCCUCUGGGCCCUGCAGGGUGGCCUAGUCACCGGCAACCCUGGAGUGAAAGUGACCCAGCACCCACCAGUGGUCAGCAAACAGCAGGGUGAGACCCUGGAGCUGAGCUGCGGCGUCAACCAAGCAAACUGGUUUUUCUAUUGGUACCGGCAGCAACCUGGAGAGCCAAACCUACAAUACUUUGGGACUUUCAGCACCUAUAGUAGCGAUUUAGAGGACGACACAAAAAGUAGCCUCGAUAGUCGGCUGAGUGGCAAACGGAAAGACAACGAAACAACUUUGUACCUAACAGGCCUCCAGCUUAACGACACAGGGCUGUAUCUCUGUGCUUCUAAAGACACAAUGAUUGUAGCAGCAUCAGGAGCUGUCACAAAACUGACUACCAAACAAUAG
Molecule: non-coding RNA, 447 nt
Organism: Zootoca vivipara (common lizard)
Lineage: Eukaryota; Metazoa; Chordata; Lepidosauria; Squamata; Lacertidae
Source: the annotation of a RefSeq genome assembly